GCCCUGUAGAGCUGAGAACACCGCCCUGCAGGCAGACGGAUCCGGGGAUGCAAGAUUUAUGAGCACAUGUUGCUGCGUACCCAUCUGACCGAUGCUUCUCAUCCCGAUGUGCUUUUCCAGUGUCGCUCCCUAAAGAGCGACAUCAUCUAUUAAUUAACCUAAAUGGCAGAACACAUGCUUUCCUCUUAGCGAACGAUAAACAGAACCAGAUGACCCGUGAAUGAAAAAUAAGGUUGUGACAUGCUCCAGGCAACGUUGUUCCAUGAUAAAGAGAUACCGUCACUGCAGGAUGGAUGGUCCUACCAUAAAAAAUGAGGCAGGGGAGUGAUGGGCUUGGCUUACAGACAUAGCUCUUGAGCAACCUGACACGAGCUUAAAUAAAUCAGUGCAGGAACUCAUCAGGGCCAAGAAGGGACCAGAAUCCACAAUGGCAGUGCAGUGCUGAGCAUCAUUUCCAUGAAGGGACCACUAGCUUUGUGCGAUGAGUUUAGUGGCCUCCACAGAUUACAGAGCUGUCGUGGAAGGAUGCCCAUUGCUUCUGUGCAGCUAUGCAGUCCAUAGGUGCUAUUACCUCUAAGAGGAUCUUCAUCAUGAGCCACUGCACAGAAUUCCCUUUGGGACACCACAGUGGCAGCCACUUGCUCCUGCAUGGAGAAGAUUCUCCACCUGUGCUAUCAAUGGGACAAAUAUCCCAGAAACCUGCAGCAUUCCCACCAGUUUUCUUUGUCCAAACACAAGUAAAAUCAUGGAAUCAUAGAAUCAUCAAGGUUGGAAAAGACCGCUAAGAUCAUCUGCUGCACCCAAUCCUGAUGGCCAAAGGUGCCAGGAGCGAUGUGGGUGCAGAAGAUGAGGAAGAGGAUGGAGUCACCAGCAGUUCAGUGCUGAAAGAAGAUCUCUGAGAGAAAGAAUUAUAAAGCAAGUGCACAGGCCUUGUGUGAGUGCAGCAGUUCAGCUCUGGCAAUUCCUGACUGCAGGGUAGGAGAGGGUUAAAAGAAAGCUCUGAGCAAGGCCUCAGACUGCAAGGGAUGCUCUCAAGGACAAGCUGCAAUCUCCCCAGAAGGCCUCCUACCCUUUUGACCAGGCUGGAAAGAGAAUGUCU
This is a long non-coding RNA of Gallus gallus (chicken), 1099 nucleotides long. Lineage: Eukaryota; Metazoa; Chordata; Aves; Galliformes; Phasianidae. The record is from Ensembl.